RNAcentral lists this small RNA (127 nucleotides) under Marmota monax (woodchuck). The record is from RNAcentral. Lineage: Eukaryota; Metazoa; Chordata; Mammalia; Rodentia; Sciuridae.
GCUGGGUGCAGUAGCGCACACCUGUAAUCCCAGUGGCUCAGGAGGCUGAGGCAAGAGGAUCACGAGAGUUCAAGGCCAGCCUCAGUAAAAUAGAGGUGCUAAGCAACUCAAUGAGACCCUGUCUCUA